RNAcentral lists this ribosomal RNA (670 nucleotides) under uncultured Ralstonia sp. RNAcentral's name for it is "bacterial SSU rRNA". It matches the Rfam family "Bacterial small subunit ribosomal RNA", at positions 90 to 756 of the family's 1533-position model. Lineage: Bacteria; Pseudomonadati; Pseudomonadota; Betaproteobacteria; Burkholderiales; Burkholderiaceae. The record is from RNAcentral.
GGCGAGUGGCGAACGGGUGAGUAAUACAUCGGAACGUGCCCUGUAGUGGGGGAUAACUAGUCGAAAGAUUAGCUAAUACCGCAUACGACCUGAGGGUGAAAGUGGGGGACCGCAAGGCCUCAUGCUAUAGGAGCGGCCGAUGUCUGAUUAGCUAGUUGGUGAGGUAAAGGCUCACCAAGGCGACGAUCAGUAGCUGGUCUGAGAGGACGAUCGGCCACACUGGGACUGAGACACGGCCCAGACUCCUACGGGAGGCAGCAGUGGGGAAUUUUGGACAAUGGGCGAAAGCCUGAUCCAGCAAUGCCGCGUGUGUGAAGAAGGCCUUCGGGUUGUAAAGCACUUUUGUCCGGAAAGAAAUGGCUCUGGUUAAUACCUGGGGUCGAUGACGGUACCGGAAGAAUAAGGACCGGCUAACUACGUGCCAGCAGCCGCGGUAAUACGUAGGGUCCAAGCGUUAAUCGGAAUUACUGGGCGUAAAGCGUGCGCAGGCGGUUGUGCAAGACCGAUGUGAAAUCCCCGAGCUUAACUUGGGAAUUGCAUUGGUGACUGCACGGCUAGAGUGUGUCAGAGGGGGGUAGAAUUCCACGUGUAGCAGUGAAAUGCGUAGAGAUGUGGAGGAAUACCGAUGGCGAAGGCAGCCCCCUGGGAUAACACUGACGCUCAUGCACGA